CUAAGCAGUCAGUGGAUGCGGGGAGUCAUAGACAGCAGGGGGAGGAAAAUGACAGCUGACGAGUCGGCGAGCUGGCGAAUUUGUUGAUGCAAUUCUCCCCUCCGAUGGUUGCUAUCGUUUCCAUAGUGUUUAUUAUUACGCUUUGAAAAUUGAAAAGGAGUAGAAAAUUUCUGGACACAAACUACAGUUUGAGAGUACAGGCUGCCGUUUUUUAUCAAUGAGAUCCAAUAUUGGAAACCAAUUAAAUUGCCCAUUUUAAAGUGAAAACAGAUGGUUUGUGUAACAUAUCUCAAGACUGCUCUGCCUACAUUUUUGUCUUGAUAAGACUCUGCUUUACAGCGUGCAUUUCAAAGAUGGGAAUUGAAUCGAACGAAGCUUUGGAUAUCAUGGAGGAUUGUGUUAUUUCUACGAUAUUAAAUUUACAUUAAUUUGUUUAUGUUUGGAGAGAAAUAAACUAGAAGAUUCUGGUAUUGUGUUCAUUACUACAUUCAUCAAAGUCAAAAAGUUGAUAAAAGAUCUUUCAUCCCUCUAUGUUCUUUUUCGCGGUACAAUCGACAAAAGUAAAACCAUUUAUUUCUAUUUAAAUCGCAUGCGCCUUUUCCCAAUGUGAUUCUCAAAUUAUCACCGUCACCAACAAUUUGCCUUUGUUUUUACGGGUGAACUGGUUCAAACCCAUUUCGGGUUUUCUUUGGAUAAAUGUCGUCACCGGUUAACAUAAAGUUUUACACUUGGUUGUUGAAUGACGUUUUCGAAACGAAAUAAAAAAUGAGGGGAAAAGGUUGCUAGGAUCUCAAGGCUCGCUAGCCUGAUGGAGCAACAUAAACUCGCCAGCUGUCAGAUUGUUUCCCAAAAUGGCGGAUUGUGCUAAGUGACACAUUGAAUUACCUCCC
This is a long non-coding RNA of Aedes aegypti (yellow fever mosquito), 890 nucleotides long. RefSeq lists it as uncharacterized. The transcript has 3 exons. NCBI's taxonomy places the organism in Eukaryota, Metazoa, Arthropoda, Insecta, Diptera, Culicidae. The record is from RefSeq and is a predicted model, not a curated record.